UACAUACUCCCUCCGUUCGGAAUUACUCCUCCAAGAAAUGAAUGUAUCUAGAUGUAUUUUAGUUGUAGAUACAUCCAUUUUUGUGACAAGUAAUUCCGAACAGAGGGAGUACUAC
Molecule: non-coding RNA, 115 nt
Organism: Triticum aestivum (bread wheat)
Lineage: Eukaryota; Viridiplantae; Streptophyta; Magnoliopsida; Poales; Poaceae
Source: Rfam